UGGGGAAUAUUGCACAAUGGGGGAAACACUGAUGCAGCGACGCCGCGUGAGCGAAGAAGGUUUUCGAAUCGUAAAGCUCUGUCCUAUGAGAAGAUAAUGACGGUAUCAUAGGAGGAAGCCCCGGCUAAAUACGUGCCAGCAGCCGCGGUAAUACGUAUGGGGCGAGCGUUGUCCGGAAUUAUUGGGCGUAAAGGGUACGUAGGCGGUCUAUUAAGUCAGGUGUGAAAGCGUGAGGCUUAACCUCAUUAAGCACUUGAAACUGAUAGACUUGAGUGAAGGAGAGGAAAGUGGAAUUCCUAGUGUAGCGGUGAAAUGCGUAGAUAUUAGGAGGAAUACCGGUGGCGAAGGCGACUUUCUGGACUUUUACUGACGCUCAGGUACGAAAGCGUGGGGAGCAAACAGG
This 403-nucleotide ribosomal RNA is filed under the name Verrucomicrobiota bacterium. Its description in RNAcentral is "Verrucomicrobia bacterium partial 16S ribosomal RNA". It matches the Rfam family "Bacterial small subunit ribosomal RNA", at positions 355 to 776 of the family's 1533-position model. Lineage: Bacteria; Pseudomonadati; Verrucomicrobiota. The record is from RNAcentral.